UUCUUCAGGGCAGGGUGCAAUUCCCUACCGGCGGUACAGCCCGCGAGCGGACGCUUUUUUAGCGAAAGCAUGAUUCGGUGAAACUCCGAGGCCGACAGUAUAGUCUGGAUGAAAGAAGAA
Molecule: non-coding RNA, 120 nt
Filed under: uncultured Agathobaculum sp.
Lineage: Bacteria; Bacillati; Bacillota; Clostridia; Eubacteriales; Butyricicoccaceae
Description: FMN riboswitch (RFN element)
Rfam family: FMN riboswitch aptamer (RFN element)
About the family: The RFN element is a highly conserved domain that is found frequently in the 5'-untranslated regions of prokaryotic mRNAs that encode for flavin mononucleotide (FMN) biosynthesis and transport proteins.
Source: RNAcentral